This is a long non-coding RNA of Brienomyrus brachyistius, 238 nucleotides long. RefSeq lists it as uncharacterized. The record is from RefSeq and is a predicted model, not a curated record. The transcript is spliced from 3 exons. Lineage: Eukaryota; Metazoa; Chordata; Actinopteri; Osteoglossiformes; Mormyridae.
CCUGUGUUAGGGUUACCUGGGGCGUAGGGACCCUGAGUUAGGGUUACCUGGGGCGUAGGGGCCCUGUGUUAGGGUUACCUGGGGCGUAGGGGCCCUGUGUUAGGGUUACCUGGGGCGUAGGGGCCCUGUGUUAAGGUUACCUGGGGCGUAGGGGCCCUGUGUUAGGGUUACCUGGGGAGUAGGGGCCCUGUGUUAGGGUUACCUGGGGCGUAGGGGCCCUGUGUUAGGGUUACCUGGG